This 445-nucleotide ribosomal RNA is filed under the name uncultured bacterium. RNAcentral's name for it is "SSU rRNA". It matches the Rfam family "Bacterial small subunit ribosomal RNA", at positions 26 to 518 of the family's 1533-position model. The record is from RNAcentral.
AGGAUGAACGCUGGCGGUAUGCUUAACACAUGCAAGUCGAACGAAGUUUUCGGACUUAGUGGCGGACGGGUGAGUAACGCGUAAGAAUCUACCUAUAGGUUCGGGACAACAGUUAGAAAUGACUGCUAAUACCGGAUGUGCCGAGAGGUGAAAGUUUUAAUGCCUAUAGAUGAGCUUGCGUUCGAUUAGCUAGAUGGUGGGGUAACGGCCUACCAUGGCGACGAUCGAUAACUGGUCUGAGAGGAUGACCAGUCACACUGGGACUGAGACACGGCCCAGACUCCUACGGGAGGCAGCAGUAGGGAAUCUUGCGCAAUGGGCGAAAGCCUGACGCAGCAACGCCGCGUGGGGGAUGAAGGCUCUCGGGUUGUAAACCCUUUCAGUGGGGACGAAUCAAGACGGUACCCACAGAAGAAGCUCCGGCUAACUACGCGCCAGCAGCCGC